Molecule: ribosomal RNA, 404 nt
Filed under: Agrobacterium sp.
Lineage: Bacteria; Pseudomonadati; Pseudomonadota; Alphaproteobacteria; Hyphomicrobiales; Rhizobiaceae
Also listed under: 6 other names
Description: bacterial SSU rRNA
Rfam family: Bacterial small subunit ribosomal RNA
Source: RNAcentral
UGGGGAAUAUUGGACAAUGGGCGCAAGCCUGAUCCAGCCAUGCCGCGUGAGUGAUGAAGGCCUUAGGGUUGUAAAGCUCUUUCACCGAUGAAGAUAAUGACGGUAGUCGGAGAAGAAGCCCCGGCUAACUUCGUGCCAGCAGCCGCGGUAAUACGAAGGGGGCUAGCGUUGUUCGGAAUUACUGGGCGUAAAGCGCACGUAGGCGGAUAUUUAAGUCAGGGGUGAAAUCCCGCAGCUCAACUGCGGAACUGCCUUUGAUACUGGGUAUCUUGAGUAUGGAAGAGGUAAGUGGAAUUCCGAGUGUAGAGGUGAAAUUCGUAGAUAUUCGGAGGAACACCAGUGGCGAAGGCGGCUUACUGGUCCAUUACUGACGCUGAGGUGCGAAAGCGUGGGGAGCAAACAGG